This 253-nucleotide ribosomal RNA is filed under the name uncultured bacterium. RNAcentral's name for it is "partial 16S ribosomal RNA". It matches the Rfam family "Bacterial small subunit ribosomal RNA", at positions 524 to 776 of the family's 1533-position model. The record is from RNAcentral.
UACGUAGGGGGCAAGCGUUGUCCGGAUUCAUUGGGCGUAAAGAGCGUGUAGGCGGUCCGGUAAGUCGGUUGUGAAAGUCCAGGGCUCAACCCUGGGAUGCCGACCGAUACUGUCGGACUAGAGUUCGGAAGAGGCGAGUGGAAUUCCCGGUGUAGCGGUGAAAUGCGCAGAUAUCGGGAGGAACACCUAUGGCGAAGGCAGCUCGCUGGGACGUUACUGACGCUGAGACGCGAAAGCGUGGGGAGCAAACAGG